This is a non-coding RNA of Callithrix jacchus (white-tufted-ear marmoset), 86 nucleotides long. The record is from Rfam. NCBI's taxonomy places the organism in Eukaryota, Metazoa, Chordata, Mammalia, Primates, Cebidae.
ACCACCUGGGGAUCUUGUUAAAAUGAAGAUUCUGAUUUAGAGGUCAGAGGUUGGGCCAUUUUUAACAAGUUCCCAGGUGAUGGUAA